GAAUCUUAGACAAUGGGGGAAACCCUGAUCUAGCCAUGCCGCGUGAUCGAUGAAGGCCUUAGGGUUGUAAAGAUCUUUCAGCUGGGAAGAUAAUGACGGUACCAGCAGAAGAAGCCCCGGCUAACUCCGUGCCAGCAGCCGCGGUAAUACGGAGGGGGCUAGCGUUAUUCGGAUUUACGGGGCGUAAAGCGCACGUAGGCGGAUCAGAAAGUUAGGGGUGAAAUCCCGGGGCUCAACCUCGGAACUGCCUCUAAAACUCCUGGUCUUGAGGUCGAGAGAGGUGAGUGGAAUUCCGAGUGUAGAGGUGAAAUUCGUAGAUAUUCGGGGGAACACCAGUGGCGAAGGCGACCACCUGGGCUCAUACUGACACUGAGGUGCGAAAGCGUGGGGAGCAAACA
RNAcentral lists this ribosomal RNA (398 nucleotides) under uncultured bacterium. RNAcentral describes it as "bacterial SSU rRNA". It matches the Rfam family "Bacterial small subunit ribosomal RNA", at positions 359 to 774 of the family's 1533-position model. The record is from RNAcentral.